AAUACACUGAGCUAUGGGACUUGCUCAGACUCACCUCCCGUUAGGAAACAGAAUCUAAUAAGAAACAGACAGUACACAAUGAAGUCAUCAAGGCCUGGUGUCUGGUGCAGGUAAGCCCCACCCCACAGGAGCUGGGGCUGUGGAGACAGAAGCGAAGAAAUUGAGACAUGGAAACGCAGGAUGACAUCCAGUGUCCAUUCUCAGAAAGACUGUUCUCUGAGAUGUUCCCCAAGAUGCUGCGUGACUCACCCAUCUCUGGGGAGGCUGGCUGUGUGGUUGUUCCUCUUCGAGACAGGGCCGGGGCUCUUCCUGCCUUACCCUAGCACGACAGCGAAUAUGUGCUCUGCCUGCUUGCUCACUGUUGUUUGUGCUGGAAAGAACCCGGGCCCAGCCCAGAGCCACGUUGCAGGGCUCAGGACUGCUCUGAAACACUGCCACCUCGUGGGGUGAUGAGGGUUCUGUAGCCCAGGAGUCCUUCUAGCAUGUGGGGACUCUCGGGAC
RNAcentral lists this long non-coding RNA (501 nucleotides) under Mus pahari (shrew mouse). RNAcentral describes it as "lncRNA (MGP_PahariEiJ_G0005403.1)". Lineage: Eukaryota; Metazoa; Chordata; Mammalia; Rodentia; Muridae. The record is from RNAcentral.